UAAAUACCAGAUACACAUCCUUUAUUUCCACCCGAAAAUACACCAGACAGCAUCGUAUCAGAACAACAAAAGAAGGAAUAUUGCUGUGUUUAUUUUGUUCCCAAACAAGAAUUAGUGAACGUAACAACAACACGGCCAAGAUGAAUGUAAGAGCACCGGUAACAAGCUGGUUCACCCAUGAAGCGAUUAAAUCAAGUGCAGUGUUCACUACUUGGAUGCAAACGCAACAAGCUUACAAUGGCCGUUGCUUUCCAAGACAAAAUUAUAUCAGUAACUAGAGCCACCACUGCACAUGCUUCGCUCUAUUUACAUCAUAGCACGACGCAUCAUGAGGUAGAUCCUUUGCUGCCCGUAGUCAUGAAAGAUUCACCACAUCCACAUUCCCCUUUCGAGUUCGGGUUUAUGAACACAAACUCCGACCUGCAACACAAGGCACCAUUUACUAACCAACAAGAGGUGAACCAAUGGAGGUGGAAGACAAGAAAGUUCUGCACAGAAACUAGAGACCAGACCUCAGUGGAUCGUCAACGAAGUCCAUCUUGGUGCCAAUCACAUGCAUCAGGGCCUUGGGGUCAAUCAGUACUUUCACACCUUUCUCUUCAACAAGCUCAUCGAACUUCCCUUUUUCUU
RNAcentral lists this long non-coding RNA (630 nucleotides) under Hordeum vulgare. RNAcentral describes it as "long non-coding RNA (HVUL_LNC008606)". Lineage: Eukaryota; Viridiplantae; Streptophyta; Magnoliopsida; Poales; Poaceae. The record is from RNAcentral.